Molecule: ribosomal RNA, 450 nt
Filed under: uncultured bacterium
Lineage: Bacteria
Description: partial 16S ribosomal RNA
Rfam family: Bacterial small subunit ribosomal RNA
Source: RNAcentral
CCUACGGGGGGCUGCAGUGAGGAAUAUUGGUCAAUGGGCGUAAGCCUGAACCAGCCAUCCCGCGUGCAGGAAGAAGGCGCUAUGCGUCGUAAACUGCUUUUCCAGGGGAAGAAAACCCGCUACGUGUAGUGGCUUGCCGGUACCCUGGGAAUAAGCAUCGGCUAACUCCGUGCCAGCAGCCGCGGUAAUACGGAGGAUGCGAGCGUUAUCCGGUUUUAUGGGGUUGUAGGGGGGUGAAUACGGAUUAAGUGAAAACCUUCAGCUUAACUGGAGACUUGCCAUUGAUACUGUUAGUCUUGAGUACGGUCAAGGUAGGCGGAAUGUGUAAUGUAGCGGUGAAAUGCUUAGAUAUUACACAGAACACCGAUUGCGAAGGCAGCUUACUGGGCCAUUACUGACGCUGAUGCACGAAAGCGUGGGGAGCGAACAGGAUUAGAUACCCUUGUAGUC